RNAcentral lists this unclassified non-coding RNA (200 nucleotides) under soil metagenome. RNAcentral's name for it is "partial contains internal transcribed spacer 2 and large subunit ribosomal RNA". The record is from RNAcentral.
GCGUCAUUGCACCCCUCAAGCGUAGCUGGUAUUGGGCCCUCGUCCUUGCGGACGUGCCCGAAAAAGAGUGGCGGUCCGAUGCGACUUCAAGCGUAGUAAAAUAUCUCCCGCUUUGGAAGCUUUCGCGUCGUGGCUGGCCAAAACCCACCCAUUUUUCAAUGAUUGACCUCGGAUCAGGUAGGGAUACCCGCUGAACUUAA